GAAAUACUAAUAUAUAUUAAUGCUGUAUCUAUUGAAAAUUGCCAUUUAUUUUUUGCAGUGCUUUAAUUUGCAGUUCUUUAUAUUGUAGCAUUCCUUACUGAGCAACACAGCAUUGUUCGCUCUUAAUUUCCCUCUCUUCCUCACUCCUGAGAAGCCAUAAAUAAUUAAUUAUAUGCAUUUUUUUCUGUUGGCUUGCAUAGUUUUCACUUGUAGUGAAUUAUGCUCUGCAAAACUGUAUUCCUCAGUGAGAAUUGUCACUGAAUUGGUUAUCGCUGUUAGGAGCCAUGUGUGGACUGUAUAAUCCUUUGUACUCCGCAUUACAAACACUCUUUGCCUGCCUGUGGCUUGGAGUUAAAAACCGUACCUCACUUGCAAGUCAAAGUAACCACCUCCUCUAGCAAGAAGGCCAUGUUUAACCUUCUCAGGCCAUUCUGCUUUGGGCAGAACUGUUAUAUGGACAAGAGCCCUAUUCUAAAGCUCCAAAGAUAGGGCUAAACUGUCUGGCUGAGGAACAGGCUACCUUAAAGAUUUCUACAAGUAACCCUCUAGCCUGUGCCUCAGGCACCUAUCUUAAGAGGUACUUGCCUUGGAAUUUGUAUCUUAACAGCAUUAGUGGCUGUUACCUAUGUGGACAGUCUUUUUUUUAUUUUUUCUAUUCGUUUUGCAGUGGGUCCUGCUGCAGGACUGCCUGGCUUAGGAUUUCGGCUCUUCAUUCUGCAUUCUGCUAUUCCUUGCUCUGUUGGCACAGCAGCAGGCUGGCCUCUUACGUGAGAAUCGCAGAGAUGAUGAUCAUGGCAGAUCACAGCGGUGGGACUGGAGCUCCUCUGGAUACUGUGGUAUCGUAUGGACGGACACAGGAGCCUGGCAUCUCUGCUGCCUUGUGAUAGUGGCCUCAGAGCUGUGCUGGAGACCAGCCAUGCAAGGUGAGAUCCAUGUCUGUUGGUGGAUCAGGUCCUUGGGCGCAUGAGGGACCCCUUGCCCCAACACAUACCUCAGUCAGUAGGCUGUAUGGAAGGUAGCCGUGGGUGGAAGGUGAGAAGGAGGCAGAGCAUUUUGCACAGCUGGCCUUGCAGUUGCUCUCCUAGAGCAGAUGCACACAUCGCUGUUGGAAUUCCAG
This 1117-nucleotide long non-coding RNA is filed under the name Struthio camelus australis. RNAcentral describes it as "lncRNA (ENSSCUG00000013287.1)". The record is from RNAcentral. Lineage: Eukaryota; Metazoa; Chordata; Aves; Struthioniformes; Struthionidae.